RNAcentral lists this unclassified non-coding RNA (345 nucleotides) under soil metagenome. Its description in RNAcentral is "partial contains 5.8S ribosomal RNA, internal transcribed spacer 2, and large subunit ribosomal RNA". The stretch from base 1 to 121 matches the Rfam family "5.8S ribosomal RNA", at positions 35 to 154 of the family's 154-position model. The record is from RNAcentral.
GAUGAAGAACGUAGCGAAAUGCGAUAAGUAAUGCGAAUUGCAGAAUUUCCGUGAGUCAUCGAAUCUUUGAACGCACAUUGCGCCCACUGGUAUUCCGGUGGGCAUGCCUGUUCGAGCGUCAUUAUCCCCCCUCAAACCCCGUGUUUGGUGUUAGACCCAAGUUGUGUGAACAACUGGUCUCAAAGACAAUGACGGCGUCCGUGGGACCCUCGGUGCAACGAGCUUUUAGGAGCACGCAUCGAGUUGCAAGGACCUUCCGGGCCGGUCUCCUUUACUAUUUUACAAGGUUGACCUCGGAUCAGGUAGGAAUACCCGCUGAACUUAAGCAUAUCAAUAAGCGGAGGA